CAAUAGCGUGUAUUAAAGUUGUUGCAGUUAAAAAGCUCGUAGUUGAAUUUCUGGGCGGCCCGCCGGUCUUCCAUGUGUUGUACUGGGCGGCGCCGGCCAUCCUUGUGGAGAGGGCUCGCAUUUGGUUGCGUGUCGGAUCUGCAUCAUUUACUGUGAAAAAAUUAGAGUGUUUAAAGCAGGCUGUCGCUUGAAUACAUUAGCAUGGAAUAAUAAGAUAGGACUUCGGUCUAUUUUGUUGGUUGCGAACCGAGGUAAUGAUUAAUAGGGAUAGUUGGGGGUAUUCAUAUUUAAUUGUCAGAGGUGAAAUUCUUGGAUUUAUGAAAGAUGAACAACUGCGAAAGCAUUUACCAAGGAUGUUUUCAUUAA
This 366-nucleotide ribosomal RNA is filed under the name uncultured eukaryote. RNAcentral describes it as "partial 18S ribosomal RNA". It matches the Rfam family "Eukaryotic small subunit ribosomal RNA", at positions 592 to 976 of the family's 1831-position model. The record is from RNAcentral.